UCCAAUGGAAGUUAAGGAUUUAAUGUGAUGUUAUAUGGAAGUGGAGGACUUGAAUGCAAAUGAGGGCAUUAGUGGAUUACAAUUGUCAGAUGCUCAACUAUUUAGCCAUUUUCAAUUGAUAUAUACCUACAAAAAUCUGGAAACGGGGCAGAGAAGCUGGAAAAAUUGAGAAGAAAGAAAGAAAAGAGAAAGGAAAGAGAGAAAGAAGAAAAGAAAGAAAGGAAAAAGGAAAAGGAAAAGGAAAAAAGGUAGGUUGGCUAUUCCAAUUUCAUCUUCAAUUUGACAAAUUUUUUAGUAUGUUUUAUGCUUAAUUUUUUUAGGGUUGCGAUUUAUUGGUUUAAUUUCCAGAUUGAAGGAAGAGAUAUGUUUGUAAGCCAAUAUUUUUGAAUUGGGAAGGCUACUUUUAAUAGGAGAUGACGAGAAGAUUGAAAUCAUGAUCAAUCCAUAACUUGAUAGUAGCGGAGUUCAGCAGUCUUGGAGCCUGUCAGUUCUCCUAAUUGAGCCACACGUCAGUAGUUUUAUAGCCUACUUUAUCAGAUUAUUAUUUGAUAUCUUUAGUAUGUUUGGGGACCUUUGGUUGUAAAGUUAUUAUCGAUUUGCUAGUAUUCUAUUUGAACAAUUUGGAUUUUGAGGGGCUGGUGUACCUUGUUUUAUAUUAUAUGUAUUGAUUUGAGGAAAAUUGGUAAUUGUUUAGGUGGUUUUAGUUCGUAUUUCAGGGGAAACUCCGUUAAAAUUCUGUUAAAAAUAUUUCUCAAUCAAGCAAGUCAAGGUUGCCUUGAUGGUGGGUCCGACAUUCAGUUGGUAUCUACCAUCGACACACAACACGUGUCGAGUCCACUAAGAUGAUUCGGGACAGAUUGUGUUAAUUGGUAUCAGAGCAUGGUUCAGUGGUUGUUAAGCUCGAGUAAUUAAUGAGUUUCUUUUUCUGAAUAGUAUGUCAUUGAAAUUAUUAGCCAUGGCAUGGUGGCAGAACUCACAGGCUCCAAUGUGGUAUUUGAAACUCAUAUUGCCCUUGAUAACGAAGUUAUGGUAGCUAAGAAACUAAAAGGAUCUUUAUUUAUUUGGGCAUAAUAAAUAUGCGGAUGUUAUUGAGAAUUAUCCGAUGGUAAUGAGAGUUGUUAGAGUUGUCAUGUUGGCACCAUGUUAAAUUUUCUCUAAUAUAUUAAUAA
Long non-coding RNA from Olea europaea var. sylvestris, 1169 nucleotides. RefSeq lists it as uncharacterized. The transcript has 3 exons. The record is from RefSeq and is a predicted model, not a curated record. NCBI's taxonomy places the organism in Eukaryota, Viridiplantae, Streptophyta, Magnoliopsida, Lamiales, Oleaceae.